UACGUAGGGUGCAAGCGUUGUCCGGAAUUAUUGGGCGUAAAGAGCUCGUAGGCGGUUUGUCGCGUCUGCUGUGAAAUCCGGAGGCUCAACCUCCGGCCUGCAGUGGGUACGGGCAGACUAGAGUGCGGUAGGGGAGAUUGGAAUUCCUGGUGUAGCGGUGGAAUGCGCAGAUAUCAGGAGGAACACCAAUGGCGAAGGCAGAUCUCUGGGCCGUAACUGACGCUGAGGAGCGAAAGCAUGGGGAGCGAACAGG
This 253-nucleotide ribosomal RNA is filed under the name uncultured bacterium. RNAcentral describes it as "partial 16S ribosomal RNA". It matches the Rfam family "Bacterial small subunit ribosomal RNA", at positions 524 to 776 of the family's 1533-position model. The record is from RNAcentral.